Molecule: ribosomal RNA, 497 nt
Filed under: uncultured bacterium
Lineage: Bacteria
Description: partial 16S ribosomal RNA
Rfam family: Bacterial small subunit ribosomal RNA
Source: RNAcentral
GAUGAACGCUGGCGGCGUGCCUAAUACAUGCAAGUCGAGCGAACGGACGAGAAGCUUGCUUCUCUGAUGUUAGCGGCGGACGGGUGAGUAACACGUGGAUAACCUACCUAUAAGACUGGGAUAACUUCGGGAAACCGUAGCUAAUACCGGAUAAUAUUUUGAGCCGCAUGGUUCAAAAGUGAAAGACGGUCUUGCUGUCACUUAUAGAUGGAUCCGCGCUGCAUUAGCUAGUUGGUAAGGUAACGGCUUACCAAGGCAACGAUGCAUAGCCGACCUGAGAGGGUGAUCGGCCACACUGGAGCUGAGACACGGUCCAGACUCCUACGGGAGGCAGCAGUAGGGAAUCUUCCGCAAUGGGCGAAAGCCUGACGGAGCAACGCCGCGUGAGUGAUGAAGGUCUUCGGAUCGUAAAACUCUGUUAUUAGGGAAGAACAUAUGUGUAAGUAACUGUGCACAUCUUGACGGUACCUAAUCAGAAAGCCACGGCUAACUACGUG